This 500-nucleotide ribosomal RNA is filed under the name uncultured bacterium. RNAcentral describes it as "partial 16S ribosomal RNA". It matches the Rfam family "Bacterial small subunit ribosomal RNA", at positions 30 to 526 of the family's 1533-position model. The record is from RNAcentral.
AUUGAACGCUGGCGGCAUGCCUUACACAUGCAAGUCGAACGGCAGCACGGGUGCUUGCACCUGGUGGCGAGUGGCGAACGGGUGAGUAAUACAUCGGAACGUACCUUAUCGUGGGGGAUAACGCAGCGAAAGCUGUGCUAAUACCGCAUACGCCCUGAGGGGGAAAGCGGGGGAUCGCAAGACCUCGCGCGAUUAGAGCGGCCGAUGCCUGAUUAGCUUGUUGGUGGGGUAAAAGCCCACCAAGGCGACGAUCAGUAGCUGGUCUGAGAGGACGAUCAGCCACACUGGGACUGAGACACGGCCAGACCCCUACGGGAGGCAGCAGUGGGGAAUUUUGGACAAUGGGGGCAACCCUGAUCCAGCAAUGCCGCGUGAGUGAAGAAGGCCUUCGGGUUGUAAAGCUCUUUUGUCAGGGAAGAAACACCGGCUCUAACACAGUCCGGGAAUGACGGUACCUGAAGAAUAAGCACCGGCUAACUACGUGCCAGCCGCCGUAAUAC